This 452-nucleotide unclassified non-coding RNA is filed under the name uncultured bacterium. Its description in RNAcentral is "partial contains 16S ribosomal RNA, 16S-23S ribosomal RNA intergenic spacer, and 23S ribosomal RNA". The stretch from base 320 to 452 matches the Rfam family "Bacterial large subunit ribosomal RNA", at positions 1 to 131 of the family's 2925-position model. The record is from RNAcentral.
UAAGGGAGCAAUCACGUCUUUUAUGAUUCAGUCAUAGAAGGGCGGAUGCAGCCUAGAAUUAGGCGGAUUACGUGAUCGCAUACCGCCCCUGGGUAUGCUGUUGAUGUGGUGCUGCUGUCUGAGCAGUCUUAGUUCGUACUCUGCUGCAGCGCUGUUUGCUCUCUUCUUGUCCUGAGCUUUUGGCAACGGACGUCCCAAUUCAGUUUUGAGGGGCAGCUCUAGAGGCUGUCAUUGUUCUUUACAAUUUCAUACGGGUAGACGAGCAACAAAAGCUGAGAAAUACUCAAGCGAAUAGAGACCUCUACAAUUUUUGAGAAAAGAUUAAGUUACUAAGGGCGCACGGUGGAUGCCCUGGCGCUGAUAGGCGAUGAGGGACGUGGUAUAGCUGCGAUAAGCUUCGGGGAGUUGCUAAACGAGCAUUGAUCCGGAGAUUUCCGAAUGGGGAAACCCGG